RNAcentral lists this ribosomal RNA (479 nucleotides) under uncultured bacterium. RNAcentral's name for it is "partial 16S ribosomal RNA". It matches the Rfam family "Bacterial small subunit ribosomal RNA", at positions 28 to 507 of the family's 1533-position model. The record is from RNAcentral.
GACGAACGCUGGCGGCGCACUUAACACAUGCAAGUCGAGCGAUGAAAUUUCGACAGAUCCCUUCGGGGUGAAGAUGAAAUGGAUUAGCGGCGGACGGGUGAGUAACACGUGAGUAACCUGCCUUUGACAUUGGGAUAGCCUCGGGAAACUGGGAUUAAUACCAAAUGACACUAACUGAUCACAUGAUCAAUUAGUCAAAGAAAUUCGGUCAAAGAUGGACUCGCGGCUGAUUAGCUAGUUGGUGAGGUAACGGCCCACCAAGGCGACGAUCAGUAGCCGGCCUGAGAGGGUGAUCGGCCACAUUGGAACUGAGACACGGUCCAAACUCCUACGGGAGGCAGCAGUGGGGAAUAUUGCACAAUGGGGGAAACCCUGAUGCAGCGACGCCGCGUGAGCGAAGAAGGCCUUCGGGUCGUAAAGCUCUUUUAUGAGGGAAGAUAAUGACGGUACCUCAAGAAAAAGCCCCGGCUAACUACGUG